RNAcentral lists this ribosomal RNA (699 nucleotides) under Flavobacterium sp. 37AAV. RNAcentral describes it as "bacterial SSU rRNA". It matches the Rfam family "Bacterial small subunit ribosomal RNA", at positions 59 to 759 of the family's 1533-position model. Lineage: Bacteria; Pseudomonadati; Bacteroidota; Flavobacteriia; Flavobacteriales; Flavobacteriaceae. The record is from RNAcentral.
CAGUCGAGGGGUAUAGUUCUUCGGAAUUAGAGACCGGCGCACGGGUGCGUAACGCGUAUGCAAUCUACCUUUUACAGAGGGAUAGCCCAGAGAAAUUUGGAUUAAUACCUCAUAGUAUAGCAGUUUCGCAUGAAACCACUAUUAAAGUCACAACGGUAAAAGAUGAGCAUGCGUCCCAUUAGCUAGUUGGUAAGGUAACGGCUUACCAAGGCUACGAUGGGUAGGGGUCCUGAGAGGGAGAUCCCCCACACUGGUACUGAGACACGGACCAGACUCCUACGGGAGGCAGCAGUGAGGAAUAUUGGACAAUGGGCGCAAGCCUGAUCCAGCCAUGCCGCGUGCAGGAUGACGGUCCUAUGGAUUGUAAACUGCUUUUAUACAGGAAGAAACCCUGGUUCGUGAACCAGCUUGACGGUACUGUAAGAAUAAGGAUCGGCUAACUCCGUGCCAGCAGCCGCGGUAAUACGGAGGAUCCAAGCGUUAUCCGGAAUCAUUGGGUUUAAAGGGUCCGUAGGCGGUUUAAUAAGUCAGUGGUGAAAGCCCAUCGCUCAACGGUGGAACGGCCAUUGAUACUGUUAAACUUGAAUUAUUAGGAAGUAACUAGAAUAUGUAGUGUAGCGGUGAAAUGCUUAGAGAUUACAUGGAAUACCAAUUGCGAAGGCAGGUUACUACUAAUGGAUUGACGCUGAUGGACGAAAG